UACGGGGGGAGCAAGCGUUGUUCGGAUUUACUGGGCGUAAAGGGUGCGUAGGCGGGUCUUUAAGUCAGGGGUGAAAUCCUGGAGCUCAACUCCAGAACUGCCUUUGAUACUGAGGAUCUUGAGUCCGGGAGAGGUGAGUGGAACUGCGAGUGUAGAGGUGAAAUUCGUAGAUAUUCGCAAGAACACCGGUGGCGAAGGCGGGUCUCUGGGCCGUAACUGACGCUGAGGAGCGAAAGCGUGGGGAGCAAACAGG
Molecule: ribosomal RNA, 253 nt
Filed under: uncultured bacterium
Lineage: Bacteria
Description: partial 16S ribosomal RNA
Rfam family: Bacterial small subunit ribosomal RNA
Source: RNAcentral